This 336-nucleotide ribosomal RNA is filed under the name uncultured bacterium. RNAcentral's name for it is "bacterial SSU rRNA". It matches the Rfam family "Bacterial small subunit ribosomal RNA", at positions 334 to 663 of the family's 1533-position model. The record is from RNAcentral.
ACUUCCUACGGGAGGCAGCAGUGGGGAAUAUUGGACAAUGGGCGCAAGCCUGAUCCAGCCAUGCCGCGUGUGUGAAGAAGGCCUUCGGGUUGUAAAGCACUUUCAGCGAGGAGGAAAGGUUAAGUGUUAAUAGCACUUAGCUGUGACGUUACUCGCAGAAGAAGCACCGGCUAACUCCGUGCCAGCAGCCGCGGUAAUACGGAGGGUGCAAGCGUUAAUCGGAAUUACUGGGCGUAAAGCGUGCGCAGGCGGUCUGUUAAGCGAGAUGUGAAAGCCCGGCGUCAACCUGGGAACUGCAUUUCGAACUGGCAGACUAGAGUCUUGUAGAGGGGGUGA